UGUUCCUACGGGGGGCAGCAGUGGGGGAUAUUGCACAAUGGGGGGAACCCUGAUGCAGCGACGCCGCGUGGGUGAAGAAGCGCCUCGGCGCGUAAAGCCCUGUCAGCAGGGAAGAAAAUGACGGUACCUUCAAAGGAAGCACCGGCUAACUCCGUGCCAGCAGCCGCGGUAAUACGGAGGGUGCGAGCGUUAAUCGGAAUUACUGGGCGUAAAGCGCACGUAGGCUGUUGUGUAAGUCAGGGGUGACAUCCCACGGCUCAACCGUGGAACUGCCCUUGCUACUGCAUGACU
RNAcentral lists this ribosomal RNA (291 nucleotides) under uncultured bacterium. Its description in RNAcentral is "partial 16S ribosomal RNA". It matches the Rfam family "Bacterial small subunit ribosomal RNA", at positions 334 to 642 of the family's 1533-position model. The record is from RNAcentral.